GACGAACGCUGGCGGCGUGCCUAACACAUGCAAGUCGAACGGAAAGGCCCUGCUUUUGUGGGGUGCUCGAGUGGCGAACGGGUGAGUAACACGUGAGUAACCUGCCCUUGACUUUGGGAUAACUUCAGGAAACUGGGGCUAAUACCGGAUAGGAGCUCCUGCUGCAUGGGGGGGGUUGGAAAGUUUCGGCGGUUGGGGAUGGACUCGCGGCUUAUCAGCUUGUUGGUGGGGUAGUGGCUUACCAAGGCUUUGACGGGUAGCCGGCCUGGGAGGGUGACCGGCCUCAUUGCGACUGCGGUACGGCCCAGUCUCGUACGUGAGGCAACGGGCGGGAGUAUUGCGCAGUGGGCCGGCGCCUGAUACGGCGGCGCCGCGUGCGUAAUGACGGCCUUCGGGUUAUGAACCGCUUUCGCCUGUGACGAAGCGCGAGUGACGGUACUGGGUAAAGAAGCACCGGCUAACUACGUG
Molecule: ribosomal RNA, 468 nt
Filed under: uncultured bacterium
Lineage: Bacteria
Description: partial 16S ribosomal RNA
Rfam family: Bacterial small subunit ribosomal RNA
Source: RNAcentral